UAGGGAAUCUUCCGCAAUGGGCGAAAGCCUGACGGAGCAACGCCGCGUGAGUGAUGAAGGUCUUCGGAUCGUAAAACUCUGUUAUUAGGGAAGAACAUAUGUGUAAGUAACUGUGCACAUCUUGACGGUACCUAAUCAGAAAGCCACGGCUAACUACGUGCCAGCAGCCGCGGUAAUACGUAGGUGGCAAGCGUUAUCCGGAAUUAUUGGGCGUAAAGCGCGCGUAGGCGGUUUUUUAAGUCUGAUGUGAAAGCCCACGGCUCAACCGUGGAGGGUCAUUGGAAACUGGAAAACUUGAGUGCAGAAGAGGAAAGUGGAAUUCCAUGUGUAGCGGUGAAAUGCGCAGAGAUAUGGAGGAACACCAGUGGCGAAGGCGACUUUCUGGUCUGUAACUGACGCUGAUGUGCGAAAGCGUGGGGAUCAAACAGGAUUAGAUACCCUGGUAGUCCACGCCGUAAACAAUGAGUGCUAAGUGUUAGGGGGUUUCCGCCCCUUAGUGCUGCAGCUAACGCAUUAAGCACUCCGCCUGGGGAGUACGACCGCAAGGUUG
Molecule: ribosomal RNA, 550 nt
Filed under: uncultured bacterium
Lineage: Bacteria
Description: bacterial SSU rRNA
Rfam family: Bacterial small subunit ribosomal RNA
Source: RNAcentral